GAUGAACGCUGGCGGCGUGCCUAAUACAUGCAAGUCGAGCGAACAGAUGAGGAGCUUGCUCCUCUGACGUUAGCGGCGGACGGGUGAGUAACACGUGGAUAACCUACCUAUAAGACUGGGAUAACUUCGGGAAACCGGAGCUAAUACCGAAUAAUAUAUUGAACCGCAUGGUUCAAUAGUGAAAGACGGUUUUGCUGUCACUUAUAGAUGGAUCCGCGCCGCAUUAGCUAGUUGGUAAGGUAACGGCUUACCAAGGCGACGAUGCGUAGCCGACCUGAGAGGGUGAUCGGCCACACUGGAACUGAGACACGGUCCAGACUCCUACGGGAGGCAGCAGUAGGGAAUCUUCCGCAAUGGGCGAAAGCCUGACGGAGCAACGCCGCGUGAGUGAUGAAGGUCUUCGGAUCGUAAAACUCUGUUAUUAGGGAAGAACAAAUGUGUAAGUAACUAUGCACGUCUUGACGGUACCUAAUCAGAAAGCCACGGCUAACUACGUG
Molecule: ribosomal RNA, 497 nt
Filed under: uncultured bacterium
Lineage: Bacteria
Description: partial 16S ribosomal RNA
Rfam family: Bacterial small subunit ribosomal RNA
Source: RNAcentral